Molecule: long non-coding RNA, 740 nt
Organism: Salvia splendens (bonfire salvia)
Lineage: Eukaryota; Viridiplantae; Streptophyta; Magnoliopsida; Lamiales; Lamiaceae
Exons: 2
Source: RefSeq, a predicted model, not a curated record
CUCUCUUUCUCUCAAAACCUCCGUCGUCCUCCUUUCAAUUUUUCUCAAGAUACCCCAAAUCGGCAACCCAAACUCCGUCGCCUUCCUCCUCACGACUCCACUCCGCCGAUAUCACGCCGUCGCUGUUGUCCCAGCUCACCGGGUCAGCCCUCACCAGCCACCGCCGCUGCUGUCUCCUUUGCGGAAAUUGCUACUACAGCGAGAGGGGGUGGUCGUCGUUCACAAUCCACCACUGUGGAAUCACCGCAGCCGAACAGCACAGCCGAGUCAGGCACCUCGCUGUCGCUUCUCUGCGGCCUUAUCUCGCCGUCGCCGCUGCUGCCAUUCCACCAAUAACUCCUCACUUGCUUUUCCUUAACUGAAUUUGGAUUUAUCUUGCAGGCAUAGAAGUGUUGUUAGCUAAAGAAGUGACAAUCGGUUGGAGUCUUUGGGGAUGUGGCAUGGCUGGCAGUCCUUUAGGGAGUCAAACAAGCUGUCCCCUAACAGCUGAUUCAUUUUGGCAGGGAAGUUGGAGGAUGCAGGUGCUAAAAAGAGAGGUGGCUGACUUGUCAUGUUUUGGUGCUUUAGGGAAAGAGUCGAGCUAGCUGGAUUCAACAUGGGCCGAAAAAAAAAUAUUUUAGCUUGCUAAGAAGAGGCCCAAAAUCUAUGUACACCCUUUUUUCAUGAUAGUUUCUUGACCCAAUAUUUAUUUUGGACUUGAGUUCUUUUAUAUUAAACGAAAAUUGAGAAUCUUCUUGAUC